RNAcentral lists this long non-coding RNA (2763 nucleotides) under Manihot esculenta (cassava). RNAcentral's name for it is "long non-coding RNA (MESC_LNC012394)". Lineage: Eukaryota; Viridiplantae; Streptophyta; Magnoliopsida; Malpighiales; Euphorbiaceae. The record is from RNAcentral.
UAUGAAAACAUGGAGAGAUGGAGUGACAUAGAGACAUUCUAAACAACAAGUCAAUAUUCUGCUAGACAUUUGUUGUAACCUCCAUUGUAUUUCUCCAUCACUUAGUAGAUUCUCUUACACCCCAAAUACUCUUCCCAAUCUUGCUUGUUUGUUUAGUUACUUUGCUUCCUUACUUGUGUGUGUGAUUGGCUUCCACAACACCUUGAGGUCCCAAUUAUCCAAGGUUGUACUUAUUGACCGCUGUGAGCACUUGCAAUCUGUUGAUUGCUGGAAUCAACCCUUUUGUUUAUCUUCCGCUGUGUAUUGAGAGAUUAAGGCUGACUCAGUUCGACAGACUGGUCUAAGUGUCGCAUAGUGAUAGAGCAUAUUUUAGUCCAUAUUAUCAUUAUUUUCUUAAUGUCUAUUUGCAUCUUUUCUGCUUAAUUUUGUGAUUUUAAUCAUGUUGUGCAGAUAUUAAGUGUAAAGAGACAAUCUGGAGAAAAUGCUUUUAAAACUGCCAAAAAGUGCCAAAUAUGGAAAGUUCCAAAAAAAGGAAAGUUUCAAAUAAGGAAAGUUUUCAGAAAAGGAAAGUUCUCAAAUAAAGAAAGUGCAAAAGCAAAAGCAGAUUAGGAAAGUUCAGUCAGAAGAUUAUUUGAAAUUUAAAUCGCAGAUCUUUCUUUCCUUGUUCAAAGAUGUGCACACACUGCAACAGUCAAAUCUUCCUAUUUAGGCAGCAAGAUUUCAAGGAGAUACACUUGCCUCUUCUUUAUUCAGCAUUCAAAAUUCGAACGAAGGCUCCACCUAAAAAGGAAAGACAAGACAGAUUCACUUUCCCUUCUGCAUUCAAUGACCACGCGCGACCUGCCUUCUGCAAAGCAAGAUGCGCUCCUUCCUCUUCUGAAUCCUUGGUGCACGCCUCCUUCCUUCUGAAAGCCUUAGAACGUGUCUCUUUCCUUCUGAAGCUCCAGCCAUGUCUCCUUCCUCUUCUGAAAGCAUUAAUGCACGAUUAUUUCCUCUUUUGAACACAAGUCGCGCGCCUCUUUCCUUCCGGAUAAUUUACAACGCGAUUCUUUCCUUUUCAGACACAACUUGGGCAGAAAGCACCACUUGGGCAGCAACUUAGGCAGCAAUGAGACCUAGGGCAAUACUUUCAACUAUAAAAAGACACAUAAGGUGCCUCCACACAGCUUUCACAGACCACCUUGGAGACACCUACGGGAUUCACAUCUCUUCUUCUACCUUUCUUCUUUUCUUUUAUUUUUGGUUUUGUUUCAGCCAUGAGAGGCUGAAAUCUUUUAUUCUAGUUGAAGAUUAGGUGAUACUUUAGUUGUUAUAUGGAUUGGGAGACUUGAUCAAACAUUGUUUAACUUUUGGUUGUUCAAUAUUUAUGCAAUUUCAUGCUUGAUUUCAAUAUUGCUUUGUUGUUUAGAUCUACGUUGAUUCUUGAUUGCAAGGUAAUAAUAUGUUAGUUUGGAUGAUUUAAGUAUGUAAUUGCUUGGAUUAUUCAAACAUAAGAACACUUGGUGUAAAAACUAAGGAAAUUGUAUGAUCUAACGACAUCUCAUGCGUUUGAGUAGUUAGGAUUGGAUCUCUCUAUCUCCUUAUGCAAUUAACAAUUGUUUUGAUGCCUAAGGUCCAAGGACGUUCCUUGGCAAUUUGUUAAUUAGUAAUUAAUUAGAGGACGUUCCUUAAUUGGUUUAAUCAUAAGGAGAGAUAUGGUGGUGAGAAGCGUCUUCCAUCUCCAUAACUAAUCUAUUGAAUCAAUCAAGAGAAACUAAGUGUCAAUGAUCAAUCCCAACAACUGAAGUGGAUCCAAUUCUUCAACUAGAGCCUUUCUCAUUAUUGUUUACUCUUUAUUUUUAUUAUUCGCUUUACUUUUAUUGCUUUCAGUAGUUGCUUAAUUAAAUCAAACUCAAAACCUCCCAUUUUACUUUCAGUUUAUUUCUCUUUCAGUUAUAUUUGCUUUCAGUUUAUUUCUCUUUCAGUUUAUUUCUCUUUCAGUUUACUUUUAUUACAGUUAAUUCUCUUGGUCUUGAUAAGAAAAAUAGGUAAGUAUUCAAUUCCCUGUGGAUUCGAUCCUUUCACCACUAUCUUUAGUUGUAAAUUGUUGAUAAUCGAAAGGUUAUUUUUGACCGGCCUCAACAACCGCGAGUCACAUGGCUUGAGUGUUUUUCGGGGUUGGAAUCGUUAAACACGUGACAAUAUAUGCGAUAAGUGUCAAGUAGAAGUGCAGUGAUGUAUGCAACUGAGGCACAGAUCGAUAGACUUGAACUUUGUUCCUAUAUGACCCGAUCAAUUCGAUUAAUUUUUCUAUUUCCACAUGCUCUUUUCUUCCUCCAUUACUUUCUUUUUUCUUUCAUUCCUUACAUUAUAUCUUUCUCUCCUAACUAUUAUUUAAUUCUUUUUUUUUAUUUCAUUUCCCAAUUAAAUUCAUUCCCAAUAUUUAUUUUAAGGGUUCUACUUCUUUUUUUUGAUUUCCAGUCCCUAUUGCUUGAAGUUCUUGAAAUUUAACGUUGUACUAAUUUCUCUUCUUGAAUUUUUUUUUCUCAGUUUCUUUUGGAAACAAAAAUAACCACAUUUGGGAGCUAAAAUUCUCUAGGAAUGUUGAUUAGUUGGGCUACCCGAAAUAAGAAAGACCCUGUUGGCUAGAGCAGUUGUUAGAGUGACUUUUUCUCUAGCAAAACAUCAAAGUUUGUGAAAUUGUUCAUCAGAGUUGGGCUACCAUUAUUCAUUAAUAGCAUACUAUUACCCAUAUUUUAUUUUUGGUGGUAAUAAUUCUUUUAA